GAUGAACGCUGGCGGCGUGCCUAAUACAUGCAAGUCGAGCGGACAGACGAUGAGCUUGCGCCCCUGACGUUAGCGGGGGACGGAUGAGUAACACGUGGAUAACAUACCUAUAAGACUGGGAUAACUUCGGGAAACCGCAGCUAAUACCGGAUAAUAUAUUGAACCGCAUGGAGCAAUAGUGAAAGACGGCUUUGCCGACACAUAUAGCUGGAUCCGCGCCGCAUUAGCUAGUUGGUAAGGUAACGGCCCACCAAGGCGACGAUCCGUAGCCGACCUGAGAGGAUGAUCAGCCACACUGGAACUGAGACACGGUCCAGACUCCUCCGGGAGGCAGCAGUGGGGAAUAUUGGACAAUGGGCGCAAGCCUGAUCCAGCCAUACCGCGUGGGUGAAGAAGGCCUUCGGGUUGUAAAGCCCUUUUGUUGGGAAAGAAAAGCAGCAGGUUAAUACCCCGCUGUUCUGACGGUACCCAAAGAAUAAGCACCGGCUAACUUCGUG
RNAcentral lists this ribosomal RNA (497 nucleotides) under uncultured bacterium. RNAcentral describes it as "partial 16S ribosomal RNA". It matches the Rfam family "Bacterial small subunit ribosomal RNA", at positions 28 to 507 of the family's 1533-position model. The record is from RNAcentral.